AAAGGUAAGCUACUAAGAGCGAAUGGUGGAUGCCUUGACUGGUAAAGGCGAUGAAGGACGUACUAGACUGCGAUAAGCUACGGGGAGCUGUCAAGAAGCUUUGAUCCGUAGAUUUCCGAAUGGGGCAACCCAAUGUAUAGAGAUAUACAUUACCUAUAUAGGAGCGAACGAGGGGAAUUGAAACAUCUUAGUACCCUCAGGAAAAGAAAUCAAUAGAGAUUGCGUCAGUAGCGGCGAGCGAAAGCGCAAGAGGGCAAACCCAGUGCUUGCACUGGGGGUUGUAGGACUGCAAUGUGCAAGAGCUGAGUUUAGCAGAACAUUCUGGAAAGUAUAGCCAUAGAGGGUGAUAGUCCCGUAUGCGAAAAACAAAGCUUAGCUAGCAGUAUCCUGAGUAGGGCGGGACACGAGGAAUCCUGUCUGAAUCCGGGUCGACCA
This 435-nucleotide ribosomal RNA is filed under the name Campylobacter jejuni. RNAcentral describes it as "partial 23S ribosomal RNA". It matches the Rfam family "Bacterial large subunit ribosomal RNA", at positions 1 to 455 of the family's 2925-position model. The record is from RNAcentral. Lineage: Bacteria; Pseudomonadati; Campylobacterota; Epsilonproteobacteria; Campylobacterales; Campylobacteraceae.